CAGCCGCCGCGGUAAUACGUAGGGUGCAAGCGUUAAUCGGAAUUACUGGGCGUAAAGCGUGCGCAGGCGGUUAUAUAAGACAGAUGUGAAAUCCCCGGGCUCAACCUGGGAACUGCAUUUGUGACUGUAUAGCUAGAGUACCGCAGAGGGGGAUGGAAUUCCGCGUGUAGCAGUGAAAUGCGUAGAUAUGCGGAGGAACACCGAUGGCGAAGGCAAUCACCUGGGCCUGUACUGACGCUCAUGCACGAAAGCGUGGGGAGCAAACAGGAUUAGAUACCCGCGUAGUCCCUGUCUCUUAUAC
RNAcentral lists this ribosomal RNA (301 nucleotides) under uncultured bacterium. RNAcentral's name for it is "partial 16S ribosomal RNA". It matches the Rfam family "Bacterial small subunit ribosomal RNA", at positions 509 to 807 of the family's 1533-position model. The record is from RNAcentral.